Acanthosepion pharaonis is the source of this 112-nucleotide non-coding RNA. NCBI's taxonomy places the organism in Eukaryota, Metazoa, Mollusca, Cephalopoda, Sepiida, Sepiidae. The record is from the annotation of a GenBank genome assembly.
UAUGGCCAUAUCAUGUUCAAACAUCACUUCUCAUAUGAUCACUGAAAUUAAGCAAAGUUGAAUCUGAUCAGUACCUAGAUGUGUGACCACUUGGGAAUACCAGGUGCUGUAA